UGGGGAAUUUUGCGCAAUGGGCGAAAGCCUGACGCAGCAACGCCGCGUGCGGGAUGAAGGCCUUCGGGUUGUAAACCGCUUUCAGCAGGGAUGAAAUUGACAGUACCUGCAGAAGAAGCCCCGGCUAACUACGUGCCAGCAGCCGCGGUAAUACGUAGGGGGCAAGCGUUAUCCGGAUUCAUUGGGCGUAAAGAGCGCGUAGGCGGAUUGUUAAGUCAGAUGUGAAAACUGGGGGCUCAACCCGCAGCCUGCAUCUGAAACUGGCAGUCUUGAGUCUGGUAGAGGAGUGUGGAAUUCCCAGUGUAGCGGUGAAAUACGCAGAUAUUGGGAGGAACACCAGUGGCGAAGGCGGCACUCUGGGCCACGACUGACGCUGAGGCGCGAAAGCUAGGGGAGCAAACA
Molecule: ribosomal RNA, 402 nt
Filed under: uncultured Coriobacteriaceae bacterium
Lineage: Bacteria; Bacillati; Actinomycetota; Coriobacteriia; Coriobacteriales; Coriobacteriaceae
Description: partial 16S ribosomal RNA
Rfam family: Bacterial small subunit ribosomal RNA
Source: RNAcentral